Molecule: ribosomal RNA, 484 nt
Filed under: Roseobacter denitrificans
Lineage: Bacteria; Pseudomonadati; Pseudomonadota; Alphaproteobacteria; Rhodobacterales; Roseobacteraceae
Description: bacterial SSU rRNA
Rfam family: Bacterial small subunit ribosomal RNA
Source: RNAcentral
GUGAUGAAGGCCCUAGGGUCGUAAAGCUCUUUCGCCAGGGAUGAUAAUGACAGUACCUGGUAAAGAAACCCCGGCUAACUCCGUGCCAGCAGCCGCGGUAAUACGGAGGGGGUUAGCGUUGUUCGGAAUUACUGGGCGUAAAGCGCGCGUAGGCGGAUCAGAAAGUUGGGGGUGAAAUCCCGGGGCUCAACCCCGGAACUGCCUCCAAAACUCCUGGUCUUGAGUUCGAGAGAGGUGAGUGGAAUUCCGAGUGUAGAGGUGAAAUUCGUAGAUAUUCGGAGGAACACCAGUGGCGAAGGCGGCUCACUGGCUCGAUACUGACGCUGAGGUGCGAAAGUGUGGGGAGCAAACAGGAUUAGAUACCCUGGUAGUCCACACCGUAAACGAUGAAUGCCAGUCGUCGGGUAGCAUGCUAUUCGGUGACACACCUAACGGAUUAAGCAUUCCGCCUGGGGAGUACGGUCGCAAGAUUAAAACUCAAUAA